CUUCCAGACCUCAUCAAUGAUCGAGCUUCUCCAGCAGUGGGACUUCUACAAUAAGAAGUCUCCAUCUGAGCUUCCACAACUGAUCUUCGUCCGAGCUUCCACAAUAAGCGGACUUCAUCUGGACUCCUACAAGAGCCAGACUCCAUCCGAACUUCUACAACAGAAUUGAAUCCCGGACUCCUCCAACGUUCGACCUUUCCUAGUGUCCUCAAGACUCCUCCAA
RNAcentral lists this long non-coding RNA (223 nucleotides) under Elaeis guineensis (African oil palm). Its description in RNAcentral is "long non-coding RNA (EGUI_LNC018253)". Lineage: Eukaryota; Viridiplantae; Streptophyta; Magnoliopsida; Arecales; Arecaceae. The record is from RNAcentral.